GGACUACAAGGGUAUCUAAUCCUGUUUGCUCCCCACGCUUUCGAGCCUCAGCGUCAGUAAAAGCCCAGCAAGCCGCCUUCGCCACUGGUGUUCCUCCUAAUAUCUACGCAUUUCACCGCUACACUAGGAAUUCCGCUUGCCUCUACUUCACUCAAGAACUUCAGUUUCAAAUGCAGGUUGCAAGUUGAGCCUGCACGUUUCACAUCUGACUUAAAGUCCCGCCUACACUCCCUUUACACCCAGUAAUUCCGGACAACGCUUGCCACCUACGUAUUACCGCGGCUGCUGGCAC
Molecule: ribosomal RNA, 292 nt
Filed under: uncultured bacterium
Lineage: Bacteria
Description: partial 16S ribosomal RNA
Source: RNAcentral